UGGGGAAUAUUGGACAAUGGGCGCAAGCCUGAUCCAGCCAUGCCGCGUGAGUGAUGAAGGCCUUCGGGUCGUAAAGCUCUGUGGGGAGGGACGAACAGGUCUGGGGCUAAUACCUCCAGGCUCUGACGGUACUUCCUUAGCAAGCACCGGCUAACUCCGUGCCAGCAGCCGCGGUAAUACGGAGGGUGCAAACGUUGCUCGGAAUCAUUGGGCGUAAAGCGCACGUAGGCGGUUUUUUAAGUCGGAUGUGAAAGCCCUCGGCUCAACCGAGGAAGUGCAUUCGAAACUAGAAGGCUUGAGUACGGAAGAGGGUCUCGGAAUUCCCGGUGUAGAGGUGAAAUUCGUAGAUAUCGGGAGGAACACCAGUGGCGAAGGCGGAGACCUGGGCCGAUACUGACGCUGAGGUGCGAAAGCGUGGGGAGCAAACAGGAUUAGAUACCCCCGUAGUCC
RNAcentral lists this ribosomal RNA (450 nucleotides) under uncultured bacterium. Its description in RNAcentral is "bacterial SSU rRNA". It matches the Rfam family "Bacterial small subunit ribosomal RNA", at positions 355 to 796 of the family's 1533-position model. The record is from RNAcentral.